Molecule: long non-coding RNA, 1167 nt
Organism: Columba livia (rock pigeon)
Lineage: Eukaryota; Metazoa; Chordata; Aves; Columbiformes; Columbidae
Exons: 2
Source: RefSeq, a predicted model, not a curated record
CCCUGCAGUUGCCUGUGGACCUUUUUACCUGGGGCUGUUUGGUUCCAGUCUGCUCUGAGCUGGUGGAGACCCAAAGCUACAGCCAGGUCAAGCUCCUUGGACUCUGCCUCUGCCACUGACCUUCUCUGCAGCCUGAGGCAAGUCCCUGCGUUCUUCAGGAUUUCUGCCUCUCCUUCUACCUCUCCUUCGUUUGCUUGAACGGUGUGUGCUGGAGGCCAAGCAGGAUUUCUAAGCAUGUGUAUCUUGCCUAGAGCAACAGAGCCCUGAUUUCAUUUGGGGACUGAGCUGCUGCAGCACAGAAGAAUGAACUCAUUCCCACCUCUGCAUCUCCCACAAAGUGCUUUGGUACCAGAAUGAAGUGGCAUUUAAUGAGCGAGUGACACCGUCUCACAGUCAAUGUCAAGGGAGAAUGAGGGACAUGGUGUGUCUAUUUAACCAGGUAUUCCUUUCAGUUCAAGUCUGUAUUUUUUGGAAAUAAAGGAACAAGAUUCUUGUCUGGAGUCCCAAGGUGUUAAUACGGCAGCAGAGCCUGCAGUCCAUGGAUCUGUUUCGAGCACCUUGCAGUAGCAGUUGGAGCAGUAAUGGGCAUCAAAGCAUGCUGGGGAAAGCAGGAUUAAUAGAACCCAGUGGGAGACAAGUCGCAUCGUUAUCUGCUGAUGACGUGAUUAGGACUUUUCAACAGAAGCAUCGGUGUGUUCUGGGGGGGGCUCAUCAUCUGGCUUGGGCUCUAACUAUCGUUCAAUCAUAAAAUAUUUUCAGUUGUUGGCAGGUGGAAAAUAGGAGUCUUUUAAGGGAAGAUUUUUUUAAGACAGUUUGAGCACUCUUAGAGGACAGUCAAUACAAAGGGAGGUCGUACUAAUUGUUGAAAUCAAGGUUAUCUGAAGCCAAUGGGAGAAACGCUCACAGUCCCAGACUUUUAUCACAGCAAGCCUCAGAAGUCCUGCUCACAAAGCGUUAGACCUUGUGCCAACUCAUGCAGCCAUCUCUGAAAAGGAUGCUUCAAGACACACAGAGCAUUAUAAAUUGAUGCCCACAUGAAUGUGUAUUCUCACUCCCUGCAGUAAAUGUAAACCCUGUUUUGUUAAGAAUUCCUGGCAAGAUUCCUCUGUUUCCUUCCUAAAAGCAAACAAGAAGUCAGAGGACUUACAGCAGUACAAAAAAAAAAUA